GACGAACGCUGGCGGCGUGCUUAACACAUGCAAGUCGAACGGAAAGGCCCUGCUUGCAGGGUACUCGAGUGGCGAACGGGUGAGUAACACGUGGGUGAUCUGCCCUGCACUUCGGGAUAAGCCUGGGAAACUGGGUCUAAUACCGGAUAGGAGCCAUUUUUAGUGUGAUGGUUGGAAAGUUUUUUCAGUGUAGGAUGAGCUCGCGGCCUAUCAGCUUGUUGGUGGGGUAAUGGCCUACCAAGGCGGCGACGGGUAGCCGGCCUGAGAGGGGGGACGGCCACAUUGGGACUGAGAUACGGCCCAGACUCCUACGGGAGGCAGCAGUGGGGAAUAUUGCACAAUGGGCGCAAGCCUGAUGCAGCGACGCCGCGUGGGGGAUGACGGCCUUCGGGUUGUAAACGCCUUUCGCUAGGGACGAAGCUUUGUGUGACGGUACCUAGAGAAGAAGCACCGGCUAACUACGUG
Molecule: ribosomal RNA, 465 nt
Filed under: uncultured bacterium
Lineage: Bacteria
Description: partial 16S ribosomal RNA
Rfam family: Bacterial small subunit ribosomal RNA
Source: RNAcentral